This 253-nucleotide ribosomal RNA is filed under the name uncultured bacterium. RNAcentral describes it as "partial 16S ribosomal RNA". It matches the Rfam family "Bacterial small subunit ribosomal RNA", at positions 524 to 776 of the family's 1533-position model. The record is from RNAcentral.
UGCGUAGGGGGCAAGCGUUAUCCGGAUUUACUGGGUGUAAAGGGAGCGUAGACGGCAGAGCAAGUCUGAAGUGAAAGCCCGCGGCCCAACUGCGGGACUGCUUUGGAAACUGCCCGGCUAGAGUGCUGGAGAGGUAAGCGGAAUUCCUAGUGUAGCGGUGAAAUGCGUAGAUAUUAGGAGGAACACCAGUGGCGAAGGCGGCUUACUGGACAGUAACUGACGUUGAGGCUCGAAAGCGUGGGGAGCAAACAGG